Molecule: ribosomal RNA, 654 nt
Filed under: Metschnikowia lochheadii
Lineage: Eukaryota; Fungi; Ascomycota; Pichiomycetes; Serinales; Metschnikowiaceae
Description: LSU rRNA
Rfam family: Eukaryotic large subunit ribosomal RNA
Source: RNAcentral
UACCCGCUGAACUUAAGCAUAUCAAUAAGCGGAGGAAAAGAAACCAACAGGGAUUACCUCAGUAACGGCGAGUGAAGCGGUAAAAGCUCAAAUUUGAAAUCUUCGGAAUUGUAAUUUGAUGGAUAAAAUUGCCACGGACAAAAGUUCACUGGAAAGUGACGCCGUAGAGGGUGAUAGCCCCGUUUACGUCCACCGGCACUAUAAUUUUAUUCCAAAGAGUCGGGUUGUUUGGGAAUGCAGCUCAAAGUGGGUGGUAAAUUCCAUCUAAAGCUAAAUAUUGACGAGAGACCGAUAGCGAACAAGUACAGUGAUGGAAAGAUGAAAAGAACUUUGAAAAGAGAGUGAAACAGUACGUGAAAUUGUUGAAAGGGAAGGGGAGGGAAGAUGUUAAAGGGACUCCUUCUUUGUAGGGAUCCCCGCCAAAAAGUCUUUCCUCUCGCCCGUCUUGAAACACGGACCAAGGAGUCUAACGAUUAUGCAAGUAUUUGAGUCAACCCCCAAAUGCGUAAUGAAAGUAAUUGGUCAACCCUACCCUCCUGUCCUAAAGGGCGGGAGAGGAAGCAUAAUUAUUAGGACCCGAAAGAUGGUGAACUAUACCUGGAUAGGGUGAAGCCAGAGGAAACUCUGGUGGAAGCUCGUAGCGGUUCUGACGUG